UUCAGAAUGCUUCCAAAGGAGGUGCACCUCAGCGAGAGCGAAGACAGCAGCGAUGAGGAAGUUGUUGAAAAGCCACCUUCUGCGAUUGCUCUGCCAAGCUUCAGAUUAUCAAAACAUUCAUUGGAGACGCAGAAGAAACAUCUCCUGCUGCCCCAAACACUGCUACCCAAAUCUGCUGCACCUCCUGCUGCAAAGUCAUCCAAGGUGGCCCAAGAGAGACCUACAAAUGAGAGGAGUCAGUUGCCUGCCCUGGAUAACAGUGCCAGGAGCAAGAAGAGCUGCAAAGAUCCUUCCAUCUCCAAGCACAGGAAAGUGAAGAGAAACCACGGUGAAUUGUGCAAGGG
Pogoniulus pusillus (Red-fronted tinkerbird) is the source of this 344-nucleotide long non-coding RNA. RefSeq lists it as uncharacterized. Lineage: Eukaryota; Metazoa; Chordata; Aves; Piciformes; Lybiidae. The transcript has 3 exons. The record is from RefSeq and is a predicted model, not a curated record.